RNAcentral lists this unclassified non-coding RNA (279 nucleotides) under plant metagenome. Its description in RNAcentral is "partial contains small subunit ribosomal RNA, internal transcribed spacer 1, and 5.8S ribosomal RNA". The record is from RNAcentral.
UUUCCGUAGGUGAACCUGCGGAAGGAUCAUUACAGUGUUCCCUGUCCUUCGGGGUAGGUUCGCCACCCCUGACAUCAAAUGAGAGUCGUUUUGGCUGGCCUCGCGGCCUGGCCGUGCCACGGCUACGGGGGGGGAGCGCCUGCCAGAGGAAUCUAAAAACCAGAUUAUCAAAGUUGUUCGUGUAAUAAUUAAUAAAUAAUACUAACAACAACGGACUUCUUGGUUCUGGCAUCGAUGAAGGAAGCAGCAGAUAGGAAGAGAACACGUAAUACCAGCAGC